This 253-nucleotide ribosomal RNA is filed under the name uncultured bacterium. RNAcentral describes it as "partial 16S ribosomal RNA". It matches the Rfam family "Bacterial small subunit ribosomal RNA", at positions 524 to 776 of the family's 1533-position model. The record is from RNAcentral.
UACAGAGGGUGCGAGCGUUUAUCGGAUUUAUUGGGCGUAAAGCGCACGCAGGCGGCUUGGUAAGUCGGGUGUGAAAAUCCGAGGCUCGACCUCGGACCUGCACCCGAAACUGCCCGGCUAGAGGUAGGUAGGGGAGAUCGGAAUUCCUGGUGUAGCGGUGAAAUGCGCAGAUAUCAGGAGGAACACCGGUGGCGAAGGCGGAUCUCUGGGCCUUACCUGACGCUCAUGUGCGAAAGCUAGGGGAGCGAACAGG